UAGAAAGUUACUUCGGUACAUCGGUGACAGGUGGUGCAUGGUUGUCGUCAGCUCGUGUCGUGAGAUGUUGGGUUAAGUCCCGCAACGAGCGCAACCCCUAUUGUUAGUUGCCAUCAUUCAGUUGGGCACUCUAGCGAGACUGCCGGUAAUAAACCGGAGGAAGGUGGGGAUGACGUCAAAUCAUCAUGCCCCUUAUGACCUGGGCUACACACGUGCUACAAUGGUUGGUACAACGAGUUGCGAGUCGGUGACGGCGAGCUAAUCUCUUAAAGCCAAUCUCAGUUCGGAUUGUAGGCUGCAACUCGCCUACAUGAAGUCGGAAUCGCUAGUAAUCGCGGAUCAGCACGCCGCGGUGAAUACGUUCCCGGGCCUU
RNAcentral lists this ribosomal RNA (373 nucleotides) under uncultured Streptococcus sp. Its description in RNAcentral is "bacterial SSU rRNA". It matches the Rfam family "Bacterial small subunit ribosomal RNA", at positions 1008 to 1382 of the family's 1533-position model. The record is from RNAcentral. Lineage: Bacteria; Bacillati; Bacillota; Bacilli; Lactobacillales; Streptococcaceae.